UCCCUCUUAGCUCAGUGGUAGAGCGCGUCACUAGUAUUUGAAAGCGAGUACUGGAAUAGUUGUACCAUGACGAGGUCAGUCGUUCAAGUCGGCUAGAGGGAA
This is a non-coding RNA of Asterophora parasitica, 102 nucleotides long. The record is from the annotation of a GenBank genome assembly. Lineage: Eukaryota; Fungi; Basidiomycota; Agaricomycetes; Agaricales; Lyophyllaceae.